GGAGUCACGCCAGAAAUCUUACCCGGAGAGACAGCAGAAUGAAGGUCAAGCUGAAGACUUUACCAGACAAGCUGAGAGGUGGUGCAUGGCCGUCGCCAGCUCGUGCCGUGAGAUGUCCUGUUAAGUCAGGUAACGAGCGAGAUCCCUGCCUCUAGUUGCCACCAUUACUCUCAGGAGUAGUGGGGCGAAUUAGCGGGACCGCCGCAGUUAAUGCGGAGGAAGGAAGGGGCCACGGCAGGUCAGUAUGCCCCGAAACUCUGGGGCCACACGCGGGCUGCAAUGGUAGCGACAAUUGGUUUCGAAUCCGAAAGGAUGAGGUAAUCCACAAACGCUACCACAGUUAUGACUGAGGGCUGCAACUCGCCCUCACGAAUAUGGAAUCCCUAGUAACUGCGUGUCAUUAUCGCGCGGUGAAUACGUCCCUGCUCCUUGCACACACCGCCCGUCGUUUCAUUGAAGUGAGCUUUUAGCGAGGUGACGUCUAAUUGGCGUUAUCGAACUUGAGGUUCGUGACAAGGGAAAAGUCGUAACAAGGUGACCGUAGGGGAACCUGCGGUCGGAUCA
RNAcentral lists this ribosomal RNA (564 nucleotides) under uncultured crenarchaeote. RNAcentral's name for it is "bacterial SSU rRNA". It matches the Rfam family "Archaeal small subunit ribosomal RNA", at positions 908 to 1472 of the family's 1478-position model. The record is from RNAcentral. Lineage: Archaea; Thermoproteati; Thermoproteota.